Molecule: long non-coding RNA, 1589 nt
Filed under: Anas platyrhynchos platyrhynchos (common mallard)
Lineage: Eukaryota; Metazoa; Chordata; Aves; Anseriformes; Anatidae
Description: lncRNA (ENSAPLG00000017835.1)
Source: RNAcentral
GAGGGAAAGCCUGAGACCCUAAACCUCUAAUUCACAGAGAUGCUUUUGAAAUGACCACUUUGCUGUGUUCGCCCCAAAAGAAGCAAAGAGCAGGAGCAGCCCAGCUAACAGAAUUGGAACAGUCCUCUGAACAGCUACACAAAAACAGCGGUGGUUAUUCACAGCAGGACCAGCAGGACCCUCCUACACACAACAGGCUGAGGCAGAUGACUGGUAAUGGAUGAGAGAAGUGAAGAGGAGGAUUUCUUAUUCACAAACACAACACUCUGCGUCCUGCAGUGGAGUGUUCUGCAAAUUCCCUGCAAGCAGAGGUGCAGCAGCCCACCACAGAAAAUGCACUGGGCCUUACACCCACCAAAUCUGCAUGAGGGGGAAGAAGGGAGUAACCACGCAGCACAGAGAAGAAAGCUUUGCAGAAGGAGGAGGAAGAAAAGGACUCUACAAGCUGGGAACAAGAAUGCUGGGCUGGUGGUUUGAACUAGUUCCCUUGAGUUCCUUCCCAAUCUCUUACCUCUCUGUAUCCUCAUUAUUUGAUUAUUACAAGAGAAAUCUAAAGAGUGCAUUCACAGAUUCCCAAAUAAAGGUCUGAGACAACUGUGAAGAAUCAGAAGAGCAGACAAUGUUUUUUGCAACCUAUCAAUCAAGACUGACCAAGUCAAACGUUGCUUGAUGCUGGUUUUUAUAUCUCUGCUUAUUAUAUUUUUAAUGGAUGUGGUGCCCGGCAGCCUCAUUUGUGGUUUCUGUUGUGCAUGACUCCAACCAGUGAGCUUACUGAAGGCUUUUCCCAGUCCCAUUAAGGAGAAACUGUGCAGGAGAUGGAUGUGGAUGAUCAGAUAAGAAAGCAAAUGGGGCAACAUUGAUCACUACAGCAAGCCAAAGCUAUCACUUCCCUGUUGUGUUUAUUUUUUUGUAGGCAAAACAGCAAAGGAAAUUUUUAAGGGGGCAUUCAAAGAGUUAUUACUGCUAUUAAAGAGCAGUGGGCUUUGUAGUGACUGCACCCAGCUCUGAGAGGAGCUGUGGGGGGUUGAUGGGCCCAGAAUAGACCAGAGAGCAGCAGAGAUGCGCAGCACUUUCUUAUACAGUUCCACCAGGAUGCAAGUGGUGGGACAUAGCCAAAAUGAAGUGCCAGGAAAAAGGCAACCCAUGGAAAAGCUGGAUGAGUGAGGAGGAAGAAGGGGCUGCAGAGUCCAUUCCCCUAAAGCAGAGGAGUGGAGCAGCCAGUGACAGUUCAGGAGGGAGAAGCAACAAGGGACAAACAGCUUCCUUCCUCCCCAGCAUGCGGUAUGCAGUGAUGAUUGAGCUCUGAGCUGAUUUAUACUGACUGCAGCUACUGCUGUCUCACUUAUCCUGGUUCUUCACAGUGCAACCCUCUUUGCACAUUCUAGCCAUCACCCUGUUCUUAUUGAUCAUAAUUUUGCAACAGGAACAGGGUGACUUUCCUUCCCACCCACCCACACUUUUCAGGCUUCUUGUGUACAAUAAUGAUUCUUAAAUCCCUGAGCACUGAAUUUCUUUCUCUGAAAUCUUCCAAACCACGCCAGACAAUAUUAUUCAAUCUCUCUAGCCCACAAAGCUCUCUGGAAAGUCAU